UCUAGGCUUUUCUGCAUCAUGAUAGGAAAUUAGAAUGCCAAUAGUCUCAUUUUGUGACCUGUCACCUUGGUGUGCGUGUAAAUUAUGCUUUGUCUUGCUUUGUGAAGAGGAAGUGAAAUUCACACACAUUAACGUUUUAAUCUAUACAUUUGCUGGCAUAAUUGCAUCCAAAAUGUGUAGAUUAUAGGUAUAUGUACACGAAAGUGAACUUGUCUGUAGGUGGUUGGGUCACUUAAAGGGCCAAACUAUGACAAUGCAGAAUGUUUUGUCCUUGUCGGUUCCAUAAUGUAAAUCCAGUUGCACACAUUUUAAAUAUAUUUGAAUGCAAUUUUUAGGGGUAUAAUUUAAGUGCAAUGCAGAACCAGUGUUCUAAGUGCUGUUGAUCAUAUUGGUCAGUAGCAAAUCUGCACUUUCAUUUGGAGAUGGUGAGGACUUGCAAUAAGUUUUUAUUGUAAUGUUUUGUUUGCACUUGCUUGUGUAUUUAAUUAAAAUGUCAUAUCAAUAGUAGAAGAAAAAAACAGAAUUUAAAAAAAAAUAUGAAUUUAGAGACCCUACAUAUGCGCCACUGUACAGAACAAAGCAGGACAUCUCGAAAGUUCUCUACAUUUGUGUACCCUCCAACAAAUUGGAAAAUGGUUGCAGGGCAUGUUAAACUACUUAGACAAUCAGUACCUGUCAGUAGCUUGCAUGCAACAUAUAAAUUAAAGUAUGUGGAACCAAGUGAAUUUUACUUUUGCACCAAUCAAAUAAACUUUUAGAGAUGCUUUAUAGUGCUCCAUAGCAUUGGUUUUUAGUGUCCCAAAUUAUUAGAGGGUCUUUUUUGAAUUCCAGGGCCACCCUUUUUAGUGUAAAAGGUUAAGUAAAUGAACCAAUUACUUACAUGGAAUCCAGCACUAAAACAGUCUCUUCUCUGCAGACCGGCCCGCCUCCUCUGAUGUCAUUGGGUUUGUCCAAUCCAAUGCUUCUAGAGAAGCUUUGUAGACUUAAUGCACAUAUGUGGCAAUCAAAUAUUUCUCAUAGAGAAGCACUGAAUCCAUUACUUCUCUGUGAGAAGUAUCAGAGGACACUCAACAUCCUAAUGCAAUGCCAUUAGAGGUGUGUUUUGCCCUGCAAUGUAAACAUUGAGAUAAAGUGGCCUGGGUGCCUCUAGUGUUCCUUUUGAAAGCCUCCUGUAUAGCACUAUGUACAAAUCUAUAAGGCAUUCCAUCAUACAUUUUAACGCUAUUUCCUGGUUGUCUUCUAAUUUUGUCUGUAUUUGAUCAAGGAAUUGUAGGAUUAGGCAUUUGAUGCCUGCUAGCAUGUCAGGUAGGUAAAAUAUUUAUGGAUUAUUUUAAACCACCCCAAAAAUGUUUAAAAUAAUUUGGUGGUAAUGUUGUAUAAAGAUGUUCAAUGGUUUGCAAAUGACUUUACGGUCACCGUACUUUAUUGCAUACAAUUUGUCACAUAUUUUGGCCGAAUAAAGCUGCCACACUUUUAUUAAGACAUUUUGAGAUUUUAUAACAUUCUUCAGUCCAAACCUUUGCCCACUAAAAUUCAGAACAAUGUGUUUUUGUUCUACGCAGGCAAAGACUGUUUUAUUAUAAUUUUAGAUGAAGGAUUGCAUAGAUAUAAGUAAAUGCCACAUUUAAGUGCAUUUUCAGGCUUUCCUUGUGGGUUUUUUUUUUUUUUUUUUUUAAAUAUGGUGGAGCCUCUUUAAAGGAACACCACAGGGUCAGGAACACGAACCUAUAGUGUUAAAACCACCAUCUAACCCCUCUCCUCCUCUCCCCCUAUAGCCACCCAAAUAUAGUAAAAUAUUACCUUUAUGCCAGUCUGCUGGUGCUGACGCGGCCCCUGAACUGCCUGGUUGGCUGACAGCAUCAGAAGUGUUGAUCAAAGCCAAUCACAAUACUUGGAGUGGCUAAGAUUGCUACAGGGGCAGAGCCAGCACAAGCCAAACAAAGCCCAGGCCAAUAAGCAUCUCCUCCUAGAGAUGCAUUAUUCAAUGCAUCUCUAUGCGGAAAGUUCAGUGUCUCCAUGCAGAGGGUGGAGACACUGAAUGAAAGGGCUGCACAUUGUGCAGAACAGCCCCAGGAAGCACCACUACCCUCCAUCUGAGGAGUGACCGGUGGAGUUAUCCCUGGGCUGUAUUGUGAACCCUGCCUUUUCUCUGAAAAAAAGUUUCCUGCUUGAUGGGAAUGAUUAUACACACCAGAACAAAUACAAUAAGCUGUAGUGUUCUGGUGACUAUAGUAUCUCUUUAAGUCCCCUUUGGACCAAAACAUUUGCUGCCUUUGGUCAAUGAUGUCUGAAGAGAACUACUCCCACAGUGCAAGGAUUACAUUUGCAACAAGACAUUAGUUUUCUUUUAAAGAAACACUCCAAAAGCCCCAUAAAUACUACAGUGCGCUGUAAUGAUUGAUUCCAAAAAUGGCAUGUAAGUAGUUAAACCGAUUUUAUAACAGUUGACUUUUUACCUAGGGUUAGCUGUGUUCUGCACUCUCAUCUGUAAUUGGUAGCCCUAUGGUGAUUGGAGACCCUUACUUUAAAGUGUCACAAAAUUCUACAUUAAAGGACCACUAUAAUGCCAGGAAAACAUACUCGUUUUUCUGGCACUAUAGUGCCCUGAGGGUGCCCCCACCCUCAGGGUCCCCCUCCCGCCCGGCUCUGGAAAGGGGAAAGUGGUAAAAACUUACCUUUUUCCAGCGCUGGACGGGAAGCUGCUCUCCGAUCCUCCUCUUCUCCUCCCCGUCGGCUGAAUGCGCACGCGCGGCAAGAGCUGCGCGCGCAUUCAGCCGGUCACAUAGGAAAGCAUUCAUAAUGCUUUCCUAUGGACGCUGGCGUGCUCUCACUGUGAAAAUCACAGUGAGAAGCACGCAAGCGCCUCUAGCGGCUAGGGGAAGGCUUAACCCAUUCACAAACAUAUUAGUUUCUCUGAAACUGCUAUGUUUAUGAAAAAAUGGGUUAACCCUAGCUGGACCAGGCACCCAGACCACUUCAUUAAGCUUAAGUGGUCUGGGUGCCUAGAGUGGUCCUUUAAGCUCUAUUUAAAAUAAGCAAGAGUUACUUGUAUGGUGCCUUCUUAUAAAAUAUAACAUAAUGUUAUCCUUGCAAAUAUAGACUAGUAACAUUGAAAAUUUUUACAAUUCAGGUAAUAGUUAAAUAUUCACAAUUUUCUCUCAUAGAUAGGUCUUUAUUAGUUGUGUAUCACACCUAGACCUCAUGCUCUGUGGGUUUCACUGGCUGUAUGAACCUGGACAGUUCAUGAGAGGGGAAAAGUGCGCAUUACAGUUUAUCUGUUUAAGGUGACACUAUAAUGUACUUCAAACAAUAUGUAAUUAUGUGAAACACUGACAUUCCACUGUAUUCUUGGUGUUAGGUUUAAUUCUGAACACUUCACUAUAACAAGGUCCAUCCACGGUAAAAUUUCAAAUGCCAUACCUAGGGAUCUUGCUUAAGUUGGUCUACCAGAUCACGAGUGAUCUUUAAAUGUACACAUGUUCUUACUUCUGAUAUUUGUUUCAGUAACUUAACUGUGAUGCUGUGUGACUGAACUAUUCCUGGGCAGUGACGGAAGCCACUAAAGCCCAUAUUUUUAAAUUCCUGGGAUGAAAGUGGACUUGCCAUCCACAAAAUGUGUGGAUGAAAAUUUCACCUUCAUGUGGUUUUACACAGUCUGCAUUGUGCAAUACUUUAAUUGUAACUACAAAAAUCUACUCAAGCUGCUGGAUACAGAAGUCCAGAAGCCCGAGUAACAACUGGAACUGUAAUGUCAUUCAAAUUGUCUGUAAAAUUAAAAGAUGCGAUUUAGCAAAAAAGUACCUGAAGUAUCUGAAACUAUUCAAAAAUUCCACAGGUUGAUUUAACCUUGUUCUGGGUUUAACUACCACCUGUGGAAUCUAUCCUUUUUUUUUUUGUUUUAAUUUUUUCUUUUUUUCUUCCCUCUGUGUUUAGCAAAAAGCAUACAUAAAUGUACACUGACAUGGUUCGUGUGGACUGACUCACUUUUUAUUUUUCCCCUACUCCUCACCAUGCCCUUGUUAGAAAUUUGGCUUACACAAUAUAUACAUCAAUAUAUAAAUGAAAGUGUUCUUAAUAAAGUAGUACCCACAGUAUUUUUGCAUGGCAAGUGCUUUUAAAAUGCUCCGCUCACAAAGCCUCAGGUUUUUACUCUGUGUGAAGUUUUACAGGUAACAGGUACAUAUUGGUGUCCAGAACGGUUCUGAACAAAUAUUAGUGUUUUAUUGCCUAUUCAUUUUGAGAAAAAUUGUGCUUUACCCUGAUAGUCUGUGACUUCAAGAUAUAGUUUUUAAUAAUUUCUGAAAAUAGCCAUGCAUAAAAAGUCUAGAUGGCUAUUAUUCAAACAAGAUCAAGCAUUGAGCAGAUGUAAUGUUUGAAAAAGUCCUUGUUGAAUUUUAAAUGAAGGUUUUGCAUCUAAGAAACUCAGAUGAACUUCAUGAUGUGCUUAUAUAUCCCUCCACUCGUCUCUUCCUCCCCUCCCCUCUUUAACCCCUUAAGGAUCAAACUUCUGGAAUAAAAGGGAAUCAUGAUAUGUCACAUGUCAUGUGUCCUUAAAGGGUUAAGCCAGGUAACUCUGAGAACAGGUGUUGGUCUCAUUACUGGUAUAAGCUCACCAUUGGUCCACAUCAUGGUCAAUUACAAUUAACACUAAAGCUUUUAUAAUUACAGUAAAUCAGUUUCCAUGAGGAUUUUUAUCCAGAACAGUUACUGACCUGUUGUCCUAUUGGUAAGCUAUUUGUGGUGUGUGUGGGUGGAGGGGGGGGGGGGUGUUAAUUGGGUGCUUAAUCCGUUUCAUUCCCUUUAUCAUUUUAUUACUGUUUAUGUACUUUCACAAUACAAGUAGUACUAAAUGAUUGCAAAAUUUAGGACCAUUUACAGACAGGGGUUCCUAUUUCACGUUAAGAUAUGUGGCCACUCUAGUAAAUGCAGCAGAACAUUCUGUUCUUGUAACUGAAUUUGUACUAUUUAUUUAUUUUUCUCAUGCAGAUCUCCAUUUUAUUUUUCCAAUGAUAUUAAACAGAUCUAAAGUGUAUUAACACGAGUGUUCCAGCUAUAUACAGUUAUUUAUUACUCAACUUUCUUGAUUCUAGAAAUCAUAUUUUGCUGUUAAUUUAUUACCUUUGUGAGGGAUUUAAAAAAAAAAAAAAAAAAAACCCGCAUCCUCUCAUUUAUUUUAAUUGACCUGACCAUUACAUUGAUCUGUUGCUUUGAUCCAUGUAAGCAGUGCUUUGUCCUUGGACUUAUUUCUAAUUCAGAAAUGUUAGAAAUCAAGAUAAAUAUGAAAUGUAUCCUAGCAUUUUCUUUUUCAUUAAUGGAAUCCAUCAUUAAUGUAAAUGAGCAACUUUACCACUUAUACUUAUUUAAGUUUUAUUUAUUUGGAUUAUGGCAAAAUAUUUGCAUUUAUAAGAUAUGGAUAUUAUUUCCAUACCAGUGUAAAGAUUUCUGGUAUGCAAGAAUUAUAGUACGACAAUGUAGAUUUCGUACAAAGAAUAUCAACCUCGCUCAUUUUGACCAUCUUACACCCAUCUUUGUGAAGGGGAUAGUUUUCAAUAAGUAAAAGACCUAUCAAAAUCUUUCUAUCAUCUUUCAUAGCAGAUCAGUCAAUUUAAUUGUCUUAAAGCAUACCUUUCAUCGUGUCUGAUGUAUAGUUUGUUUAUAUUGAAGUCUGUUGGACAGAAGGCUUUGUUUCCCAUAUUGUAUAUGGUUAAACAUUUUUUUGUAUAUUUGGUGUUAAGUUAAUUUUGCUUUAUAUUUAAGAAAAUAAUUCAGGAAUUUUUUUUCCCUUCAUUUUAAUGUUGUUUUUACAUGGUUUUAUUUUAAAUAAAGUAUGACACUGCUUUCCAAACAAAUAUCUGAUUCUAUGUCCUAUGAAAUCACCUCUGUCUUAAGAUUUUUGUAAUUUUCCUUUAAAUUUAUUACAGACUUCACAUUUUUAAAUAUUUAUUCCCCUUUGGUUGUGCACGAUAGCAAAUGUAAAUAUUGUAUGUAUAUGUCUGUACAUUUUGGUUUUCCAGUUUCAUUUCAAAGCAUUGUUGUGUUAUCAGCAUUUGCUUAACAUUGUUUAUAUUAACAUUUUGCCAGUAAGUAGUUUAUGCAGCAAAGUCUUUAGCUUUGCUGCAAAUACUUUGUGACUGUAUUCUUACGUUUUUUGUUUUUCUUUUGUUUUUUUCCCAUUAAGGAACCAGUAAUGGAUCUAAUAACAGGUCUCUCUGCAAGCAUUUAUUCCAGAUCAAAAUAAACUGUGUUCUCUAUGAUUUCAUUAAAGGGCAUUUACUUUCUUUACUUGUUUUACAGUUAAAAUGCAGGUAAAAUACAUUAAAUUGUAU
RNAcentral lists this long non-coding RNA (6326 nucleotides) under Pelobates cultripes (western spadefoot toad). The record is from RNAcentral. Lineage: Eukaryota; Metazoa; Chordata; Amphibia; Anura; Pelobatidae.